GAGCAGGAAAUAUAAAAAUCCUAAAAAGAUCUUCAAUAACAAUCCGUAUAAAACCAAAACCGUACUAUUUGAGGGACGACUAAUAUGUUUUGACCGUCUGGAUCCUUUGAUUUUAUACAGCUUUUCCGAGUCUGCUAAACAUAAAUAAUGCUGCAACUAUUCUCCUUCACCCGUCCGCUGCGAUUGGCACGGAUUUCACCUUCACUAGUAGCCUGGUAACAUAUAGUCCCAGGUCUUUCUCUGCCUCUGUGGUGGAUAGUGGAGUGUUUCCCAUGUGGUAUUGGUGUGCUGGAUAUCCCUUCACUGGUAGCCUGGUAACAUAUAGUCCCAGGUCUUUCUCUGUCUCUGUGGUGGAUAGUGGAGUGUUUCCCAUGUGGUAUUGGUAUGCUGGAUAUCCCUUCACUGGUAGCCUGGUAACAUAUAGUCCCAGGUCUUUCUCUGCCUCUGUGGUGGAUAGUGGAGUGUUUCCCAUGUGGUAUUGGUGUGCUGGAUAUCCCUUCACUGGUAGCCUGGUAACAUAUAGUCCCAGGUCUUUCUCUGCCUCUGUGGUGGAUAGUGGAGUGUUUCCCAUAUGGUAUUGGUAUGCUGGAUAUCCCUUCACUGGUAGCCUGGUAACAUAUAGUCCCAGGUCUUUCUCUGCCUCUGUGGUGGAUAGUG
Eriocheir sinensis (Chinese mitten crab) is the source of this 657-nucleotide long non-coding RNA. RefSeq lists it as uncharacterized. The record is from RefSeq and is a predicted model, not a curated record. The transcript is spliced from 3 exons. NCBI's taxonomy places the organism in Eukaryota, Metazoa, Arthropoda, Malacostraca, Decapoda, Varunidae.